CCUACGGGAGGCAGCAGUGAGGAAUAUUGGUCAAUGGUCGGGAGCCUGAACCAGCCAAGCCGCGUGAGGGAUGACGGUACAGAGUAUCGUAAACCUCUUUUGUCAGGGAACAAAGGCGGGGACGUGUCCCCGGAUGAGUAUACCUGAAGAAAAAGCAUCGGCUAACUCCGUGCCAGCAGCCGCGGUAAUACGGAGGAUGCGAACGUUAUCCGGAUUUAUUGGGUUUAAAGGGUGUGCAGGCGGUGUUUUAAGUCAGCGGUCAAAGCGCGGGGCACAACCCCGUCCCGCCGUUGAAACUGGCAGUCGCGAGUUGGAGAGAAGUAUGCGGAAUGCGCGGUGUAGCGGUGAAAUGCAUAGAUAUCGCGCAGAACCCCGAUUGCGAAGGCAGCAUGCCGGUUCCACACUGACGCUGAGGCACGAAAGCGUGGGUAUCGAACAGGAUUAGAUACCCCAGUAGUC
RNAcentral lists this ribosomal RNA (459 nucleotides) under uncultured bacterium. RNAcentral's name for it is "partial 16S ribosomal RNA". It matches the Rfam family "Bacterial small subunit ribosomal RNA", at positions 338 to 795 of the family's 1533-position model. The record is from RNAcentral.